This 4041-nucleotide long non-coding RNA is filed under the name Takifugu rubripes (torafugu). RNAcentral's name for it is "lncRNA (ENSTRUG00000026964.1)". Lineage: Eukaryota; Metazoa; Chordata; Actinopteri; Tetraodontiformes; Tetraodontidae. The record is from RNAcentral.
AUGGUGGGUGUCAGGCUCAGCCGAGUGACUCUCGCCUUCACUUUAGUCCUGUGUACUUGGGUCAAGAGUUCAACCUGUUUUGGUCUGCAUUGGUUGGACAAGAACGGUCAGGACACAGGAGUGGGAGGAAGAAGAGGAAAGUUUGUCUUUGACAGUAAAGACCUUGGACCUCAGUUAAAGUCUUCCUCUGCCACAGGAAAGCUGCUGAAAAUCAUCCUGGGGAUGUGGGGGCAGACAUCAGAGAAUGAGGCUUCCCCAAAGAAAGAAGCAGCAUGGAAGCAGUUAAAACCUUCCCUGCACUGUGGUCAGAAUGAGAUGGUGUUUAGAGCUACUGGAUACAGAGCUGCUGAAAUACAGCUAGAUAUGGGUGCCGCUGCCCCCCUCCCUCUGAACCAUUUGCCUGAAACAUGUGGCUACACAAGGAAACAUGGUGUUGGCUUUGUCUUGGUUGUUCCCUACGAUGGCUGUAACGUGACUCAAGAGAAUGGAAAUUAUGUGUUGAAGAUGAGAUGGCUUAAUGCUUCAGUUGAGUUCAUCUGCUCAAUGACAAGUUCCUCUAAAUUUCUGGAUCUGAACGAGCUCCAGUCAUCUCAAGAGUCAGAGCCACUCCCAGUGAGGAUUUUGAGACACAAUCGUCACAGACGGGCUGCAACUGGUGGACUCUCUUCUUAUCCCCACAGUUUUUACUAUAACUAUGCGUGUUUACUUCGCUAUUACAUGUAUAUGAUGAGCAUGGCACACUUCUCCAACACCCAGACCACUACCACCACUGCUCCACCGGCACAGACUACUACAGCCAAACCACUUGGAGAUGACCGACAAAUUGUAGUUUACUAUCCUCAGUUUUUUCCUUAUUACUACCCAGUUGGACAAAAACCAGUGGAUUUUCUGCCAUCAUCUGACUGUGAUUCAUCUUCAAGCACUGGACAAAGGCCACAAUGUUCCCAAGGCCCACAAGAGAAAUGGCCCUUAAGCAGACCUACCCAUCUUGACAAUCCUUUGCUGCUCAAGCAAAUUCUUCAGCGGUACUAUGGACUAGAUCCAGAUCAAGCACUUCCUCAAACUACCUCUAGUGAAAGACCCAUUGGUGCCAGCUGUCUUGGCGAAGUGAGCACGUACAUCCCCUACGAGCACCUCUCUUUCCCACCCCACAUCUCAUAUGAGAAUGACAAGCCUGUAGGAGACAAACAGAAUAUCCCUGAACAAAGUUACAACCGCCAUGUUGGACUGCAGCCUCGUGUACACCCGUAUCAAUGGGCUGGGGACUGGUGGCACUGAUACCGCCAGCAAUUUGCAAGUACUUCCUGAAGAUAGUGUAGCUUCUAACUGGCUUUGGGGGGGGGGGGAAAUGAGGCAGUUAGAAUGUGGUGUACUUGUGAAACUGCUGAAUUGAGCAAUGUUUACAAUAAAACUCUUGGGACUGAUUCUGUGUGUGUUCAUAAAUUCUGUUGUGACUUGUAGUUCAAGUUUCCCUUGUCUGGCCAGAUGUAGACUCUUGGUGCACAGUCCUCAUGGCGCUCCUAACUAAAGGACUCUUGACGUAAGAAUAAUUCAGGAAGUUUGAGAGUGAGGAGACAGAAACAUGAUCUUGGUUAGUAGGUGUAGUUGACCUGUUGGGAGGUGUUGACAUCUUCUAAAAGUUGUAUUUUUUUUUUUAUCAAAACCAAAGUGUGUCUGGUGAAAUCAACCUGUUUAAUCCAUUUGACAUUGAGGGUGAGCGCUGAAUUGGCUUUUGGUUGCAAUGAUUACUGGCCUGCUUGGAGAAGUUAUCAGGAUAAGCAAAAGCCUGAGGGAUCACAGGUCGAGGGCAGCGGCAGCUUGAGGCGUCGCUCCCUCCUGUUAUGUAGUGAUGGGACGAGCGACACUGGUGCGUCAGCACUGUCCCGAGAGCUCUAGAGUGAAACCCCGUAUCGGCGCGUGUAUCGCUUUAAGAACCACGUGACCGAUACAGGAACUGGAUCGUUUGGAUGUGCUGCGCCAAAGUGUGUUUAUAAGGAAACAAACUGCAUCAACGUGUCGCGGGUUUGUUGGAUGGAGUUUUGCAGUUGCGUGAUUAAGGAUCGUUCUAAGAAAUUUCCCCCCAGUGUGGAAUAAUUUUGAUCUUGUGACGCCAAACAAGGUAAAUCUUUUUCUCCUCUGAGCAUUGUUUACUGUUAUACUAUGUUUUUACGGUGGCACGUUGCACUCACUUUAUCAGUUUAUCAAGUGCAUAUGAUAGUUAAAGAGCCUUACAGUUGCUUUAUUCAUUUUAUCUCGUAAUUACCAGACCUGAUCUCGAAAUCAUGACAUAGGGUGUCUAUUUUUUUAACAAGUGAAUGCAAUGCGCCACCUUAGUUUUUACUCUGUUCUGGUAAGAGGUUUGAAUUGUUUUCAGAUAAAUUAACUUUUUAUGUUAUUGUAGGUGAAGUGUCGGCUCUGCUCCACAGAGCUGUCUUACAUCAAUAAGAGCACUUCGUCAAUGCUGCGGCAUUAUAGAGCUCGGCAUGGCAAUGAAGAAUUGGCAGAUACUCGUGAGAGAACCCCAGGUAUGUUGAAAUUGUCUCUAAAAAUUGUGAUUAAAAAAAAAAAAAAAAAAACCAUGCAUGCAAACAGACAGGCCCCAGGCCUGGUAUGGAACCUCCAGCCCUUUUGCUGUGAGGCGACAGUGCUAACCAUUGUGUCGCCCUAUGGCUAUUUGAUAUUGUUUGUAAAAAUUACAGUCCUUUUAUUAAGCUUUUGACAAAAUAUUUCCUUUUUCACUUGCAGUUCCUAACAAGCAAGCAGUGGAUGAGGCAGUGGUCAACAUGAUCAUCAAAGACUGUCAGCCUCUCAGCUUUGUUGAAAAUGAGGGAUUCAGGGAGCCUCUAAAGCUUAUUAUACCCUCGAAUGCUCUACCAAGCAGGAAGGCAUGUUUAAGAAAUGUUAUAUUUUUGUACUAACUAUAUAACUAUAUUUUAUUGGUGUAACAGUAUUUGUAUGGUUAUUUUCAGACCAUCAAGGACUUGGUGAGCCAGAGAUGAGGAGGAAAAGAAGAAAACAAAAAAGGACCUCGAGAGCGCCGUUGCUGUUACUUUAACAGCUGAUAUGUGGACGUCUAUGAAUAUGGAGGCAUAUCUAGCUGUUACUGGCCACUAUGUGGACAAAGAAAGCUAUGAACUCCAUUCAUCAGUCUUGGGAGUGCAGCAUUUUCCUCAGAAACGCACUGCAGAAAACAUUGCUACGGUUAAAAGGAGCCUCAUGGAGGAGUAGGGUUAGGGAAAGGUCAGGAGUCUUGUCACUGAUGCAGCAGCAAACACGACUUCAUGUGCUCGAAUGCUGCAAAUACGGCAUACCAUUUGUAUCGCCCAUUCCAUGGAUUUAAUUGUGAGAAAAUCAUGUGAUUAAAUCAUGUGAUCAAAUCCAACAAUACGCAAAUACGCAAAAUACGCAACAAAACACAACACAUUGUGACAUACUUUGGAUCGAGCGUGACUGCUAAAGAGAAGCUCACUCAAAUACAGCAACAGCUGGGAACACCGGUCCAUAAAUGAAUAAACGAGGUGCCAACACGAUGGAACAGUACCUACCAAAUGUUUGAAAGAAUGACUGAGCAGAAGGAGGCAGUCUGGGUGUCACUGGCCUCAUUAAAAACUGACAUCACUCCAGAAGAAUGUCAAAUCAUUGAAGAGAUGCUCAGGGUUCUUGCUCCUUCUGACCAAGCCACAAGAGAACUGUCUGAGGAAAAAAGGGUCUCUGGGUCGAAGGUCAUUCCCUUGAUGAGGAUGCUCCACAUUGAGCUUCAACGUCAGGCCACAACGGUGACAAAAACAGCUGCUCAACAACUGGCUGAAAACCUGAGAAAGCGGCUAACUGACGCUAUUUGCAGCCUGGAAUCACUCAGUGUGAUGACACUGGCAACACUGUUGGAUCCCAGAGUCAAACCAAUUGGAUUUGCUAGUCACCAAAAGGCAAGUGAAGCGGUGAAGAGACUGAAGUCGGAGUGUGUGCAAGAAAUGAGGAGCCAAGAGCCUGACCCAACAGAAGAAGAGCCUAGCUCUUCACGUGGGUCAGAACCCAGUUCUG